RNAcentral lists this ribosomal RNA (460 nucleotides) under uncultured bacterium. RNAcentral describes it as "partial 16S ribosomal RNA". It matches the Rfam family "Bacterial small subunit ribosomal RNA", at positions 338 to 795 of the family's 1533-position model. The record is from RNAcentral.
CCUACGGGAGGCUGCAGUGAGGAAUCUUCGUCAAUGGACGAGAGUCUGAACCAGCCACGUAGCGUGAAGGAUGACUGCCCUAUGGGUUGUAAACUUCUUUUAUAAAGGAAUAAAACGAGGCACGUGUGCCUUUUUGCAUGUACUUUAUGAAUAAGGAUCGGCUAACUCCGUUCCAGCAGCCGCGGUAAUACGGAGGAUCCGAGCGUUAUCCGGAUUUAUUGGGUUUAAAGGGAGCGUAGAUGGGUUGUUAAGUCAGUUGUGAAAGUUUGCGGCUCAACCGUAAAAUUGCAAUUGAUACUGGCAGUCUUGAGUACAGUUGAGGUAGGCGGAAUUCGUGGUGUAGCGGUGAAAUGCUUAGAUAUCACGAAGAACCCCGAUUGCGAAGGCAGCUUACUAAACUGUGACUGACAUUGAUGCUCGAAAGUGUGGGUAGCAAACAGGAUUAGAUACCCUAGUAGUC